RNAcentral lists this ribosomal RNA (463 nucleotides) under Lysobacter sp. B2-206. RNAcentral's name for it is "bacterial SSU rRNA". It matches the Rfam family "Bacterial small subunit ribosomal RNA", at positions 22 to 474 of the family's 1533-position model. The record is from RNAcentral. Lineage: Bacteria; Pseudomonadati; Pseudomonadota; Gammaproteobacteria; Lysobacterales; Lysobacteraceae.
GCUCAGAGUGAACGCUGGCGGCAGGCCUAACACAUGCAAGUCGAACGGCAGCACAGCAGUAGCAAUACUGUGGGUGGCGAGUGGCGGACGGGUGAGGAAUGCAUCGGAAUCUGCCUAUUUGUGGGGGAUAACGUAGGGAAACUUACGCUAAUACCGCAUACGUCCUACGGGAGAAAGUGGGGGACCUUCGGGCCUCACGCAGAUAGAUGAGCCGAUGCCGGAUUAGCUAGUUGGCGGGGUAAAGGCCCACCAAGGCGACGAUCCGUAGCUGGUCUGAGAGGAUGAUCAGCCACACUGGAACUGAGACACGGUCCAGACUCCUACGGGAGGCAGCAGUGGGGAAUAUUGGACAAUGGGCGCAAGCCUGAUCCAGCCAUGCCGCGUGUGUGAAGAAGGCCUUCGGGUUGUAAAGCACUUUUGUCCGGAAAGAAAAGCUUCGGGUUAAUAACCCGGAGUUAUGACG